Molecule: ribosomal RNA, 144 nt
Filed under: Armillaria aff. borealis 1
Lineage: Eukaryota; Fungi; Basidiomycota; Agaricomycetes; Agaricales; Physalacriaceae
Also listed under: 1 other name
Description: partial large subunit ribosomal RNA
Rfam family: Eukaryotic large subunit ribosomal RNA
Source: RNAcentral
UUGACCUCAAAUCAGGUAGGACUACCCGCUGAACUUAAGCAUAUCAAUAAGCGGAGGAAAAGAAACUAACAAGGAUUCCCCUAGUAACUGCGAGUGAAGAGGGAAAAGCUCAAAUUUAAAAUCUGGCAGCUUCGCUGUCCGAGU